GCCCCGUCACUCGGUGGCAGCAUCUCCGUCGCGCUUGUAAAGCGAAGGUCGUCGGUUCGAAUCCGACAGGGGGCU
This 75-nucleotide transfer RNA is filed under the name Streptomyces sp. DvalAA-14. Its description in RNAcentral is "tRNA_Thr_TGT". It matches the Rfam family "tRNA". From Rfam's summary of the family: Transfer RNA (tRNA) molecules are approximately 80 nucleotides in length. The record is from RNAcentral. Lineage: Bacteria; Bacillati; Actinomycetota; Actinomycetes; Kitasatosporales; Streptomycetaceae. RNAcentral also lists the same sequence under 1 other name.